This 468-nucleotide ribosomal RNA is filed under the name uncultured bacterium. RNAcentral describes it as "partial 16S ribosomal RNA". It matches the Rfam family "Bacterial small subunit ribosomal RNA", at positions 28 to 507 of the family's 1533-position model. The record is from RNAcentral.
GACGAACGCUGGCGGCGUGCUUAACACAUGCAAGUCGAACGGUGAAGCUCCAGCUUGCUGGAGUGGAUCAGUGGCGAACGGGUGAGUAACACGUGAGCAACCUGCCCCUGACUCUGGAAUAAGCGCUGGAAACGGCGUCUAAUACUGGAUACGAGAAGGGUCCGCAUGGGCACUUUCUGGAAAGUUUUUCGGUUGGGGAUGGGCUCGCGGCCUAUCAGCUUGUUGGUGAGGUAAUGGCUCACCAAGGCGACGACGGGUAGCCGGCCUGAGAGGGCGACCGGCCACACUGGGACUGAGACACGGCCCAGACUCCUACGGGAGGCAGCAGUGGGGAAUAUUGCACAAUGGGCGAAAGCCUGAUGCAGCGACGCCGCGUGAGGGAUGACGGCCUUCGGGUUGUAAACCUCUUUCAGCAGGGAAGAAGCGAAAGUGACGGUACCUGCAGAAGAAGCACCGGCUAACUGCGUG